AUUGAACGCUGGCGGCAGGCCUAACACAUGCAAGUCGAGCGGAUGAAGGGUGCUUGCUCCUUGCUUCAGCGGCGGACGGGUGAGUAAUGCCUAGGAAUCUGCCUGGUCAUGGGGGAUAACGUCCGGAAACGGGCGCUUAUACCGCAUACGUCCUGAGGGAGAAAGUGGGGGAUCUUCGGACUUCACGCUAUCGGAUGAGCCUAGGUCGGAUUAGCUAGUUGGUGGGGUAAAGGCCUACCAAGGCGACGAUCCGUAGCUGGCCUGAGAGGAUGAUCAGGCACGAUGGAACUGAGACACGGUCCAGACUCCUACGGGAGGCAGCAGUGGGGAAUGUGGGAGAAGGGGCGAAUGCCUGAUCAAGCCAGGCCGCGUGUGUGAAGAAGGUCUUCGGAUUGUAGAACACUUUAAGGUGGGAGGAAGGGCAGUAAGUUAAUACCUUUCUGUUUUGACGGUACCAAGAGAAUAAGCACCGGCUAACUUCGUG
This 484-nucleotide ribosomal RNA is filed under the name uncultured bacterium. RNAcentral describes it as "partial 16S ribosomal RNA". It matches the Rfam family "Bacterial small subunit ribosomal RNA", at positions 30 to 507 of the family's 1533-position model. The record is from RNAcentral.